RNAcentral lists this ribosomal RNA (447 nucleotides) under uncultured bacterium. Its description in RNAcentral is "bacterial SSU rRNA". It matches the Rfam family "Bacterial small subunit ribosomal RNA", at positions 329 to 793 of the family's 1533-position model. The record is from RNAcentral.
AGCCAGACUCCUACGGGAGGCAGCAGUGGGGAAUAUUGCACAAUGGGGGAAACCCUGAUGCAGCGACGCCGCGUGAGCGAUGAAGUAUUUCGGUAUGUAAAGCUCUAUCAGCAGGGAAGAAAAUGACGGUACCUGACUAAGAAGCCCCGGCUAACUACGUGCCAGCAGCCGCGGUAAUACGUAGGGGGCAAGCGUUAUCCGGAUUUACUGGGUGUAAAGGGAGCGUAGACGGCAAUGCAAGCCAGAUGUGAAAGCCCGGGGCUCAACCCCGGGACUGCAUUUGGAACUGUGUAGCUGGAGUGUCGGAGAGGCAGGCGGAAUUCCUAGUGUAGCGGUGAAAUGCGUAGAUAUUAGGAGGAACACCAGUGGCGAAGGCGGCCUGCUGGACGAUGACUGACGUUGAGGCUCGAAAGCGUGGGGAGCAAACAGGAUUAGAUACCCUCGUAA